This 316-nucleotide long non-coding RNA is filed under the name Gallus gallus (chicken). Lineage: Eukaryota; Metazoa; Chordata; Aves; Galliformes; Phasianidae. The record is from RNAcentral.
AGGAAGGCAGGCAAAGGAAAGGAAUAAUGGAAGAAGGAAGGACGAGGAAGAAAGGAAACAAGAAAGAAAAAGAAAGGGAACAAGGAAGGAAGAGGAAGGGAAAAGGGAAGGGAAAGAAAAAAGGAAAAGAGAAAAGGGGAAAAAAAAAUAUUGCCAGGAUCUGUUCUUGGACCUUAAUGACGAAUGACAUAGAAUGGCUUGUAUUCCUGCAGCUAAGUUAAUUUUUUUCUCCCCAAAACAAGGUGGCCUCAUCCAUGCUGCCUGUUUAUUACAGCUCUGAACAUUGCACAGCUAAGCAGUUUGAGUUGGUGCCAUG